Molecule: unclassified non-coding RNA, 252 nt
Filed under: uncultured fungus
Lineage: Eukaryota; Fungi
Description: partial contains 18S rRNA, ITS1, 5.8S rRNA, ITS2 and 28S rRNA
Source: RNAcentral
AAGGAUCAUUAUUGAAUAAACCUGGUGGGUUGUCGCUGGCUCUUCGGAGCAUGUGCACACUCGCCAUCUUUAUCCAUCCACCUGUGCACCAUGUGUAGUCCUGAGGGUAAAUGGAGUUGCUGCCGGCAAAUCCAUCCUCGCAGGUCUAUGUCUUUUAUAUAAACCACGUAACAUGUCAAUGAAUGCAUUUGAUGGGCCUCUGCGCCUAUAAAAACUAUAAUACAACUUUCAGCAACGGAUCUCUUGGCUCUC